This is a long non-coding RNA of Hippocampus zosterae (dwarf seahorse), 913 nucleotides long. RefSeq lists it as uncharacterized. The record is from RefSeq and is a predicted model, not a curated record. The transcript is spliced from 2 exons. NCBI's taxonomy places the organism in Eukaryota, Metazoa, Chordata, Actinopteri, Syngnathiformes, Syngnathidae.
GCCGCGCAUGCGCUCACCUAUUGGGAGACAAGCGGAAAACACACCCGCUCAAAAAGCACGCAACCGUUUCACAGUCAAAUCUCACGACUUGCAAUUUAUUCUCCAAGUUGCAACCCCCCUUUUCAUCGUCAUGUCCUCAACAAGAGGCUUACCUGGCGUAAAAGUCAGUGCAGGGACCAGUCCGUGCUGGUGUGUGUGAGCGCAGUGACGCAUUUCAGGAGGAUGAGGAUGAUGAUGAGGGUGAUGGUGGUGAUUAUGAUAGAGCUCACACCAUCUAGCCAGGAAAUCUCUCUUGUCCUAAUUGCCGCAAUCUGCUCAAUGUGCACCCUUCGCACGGCGUCGGGAGGCUCUGUCAGCGCGCAUCGAGAGCUGUCCAACAAUGAGCUGAGCUGGAGCGAGAUGAGGAGGAAGAAGAAGAAAAAAACCCCUCCUCCUUUCCCUACUUCCUCCUCUUCUGCUGCUCCACUCAGCAUGUGAAUGAGGAGCUGCAGCUGCAUAAAAGCUCCACUGGCAACUGAGCCCCCGCCCCCCCUUAAAAAAUAAGAUUAAUCUCUGCUUACAAGCGUCCAAAAGUGAUGCUUCUUACAAUACGGUAGGUACACCCUGGAGUCAAAUGAUAAGUGAAGUGAGCGUGAGGUAAAUUAGCUUCUCAUAAAGGACCACAAUCAGCGUGGUAGCCAGUUGGCUUUCCCCAAGGGUGCGGUCAGCUUGAAGCACAUGAGUGGAAAAUAAUUUGUUUUGGGGAUGCUGGUUGACCCCCGAGGAAAUUACGUCAGAAGAAUGAAUCUGUAAUCUGUCACCCACUGUCAAAAAACCUUUAACAGUGGAACCGUGCUAUUCACAGGGGACAAUGACCGAGCAUUAAAUUAAUCACAUUUUGAGGGGGAAAAAGGCAUUGAAGGAUUGGGAGAUU